Molecule: ribosomal RNA, 349 nt
Filed under: uncultured bacterium
Lineage: Bacteria
Description: bacterial SSU rRNA
Rfam family: Bacterial small subunit ribosomal RNA
Source: RNAcentral
AGAGUUUGAUCAUGGCUCAGGAUGAACGCUAGCUACAGGCUUAACACAUGCAAGUCGAGGGGAAACGACAUCGAAAGCUUGCUUUUGAUGGGCGUCGACCGGCGCACGGGUGAGUAACGCGUAUCCAACCUGCCCACCACUUAGGGAUAACCUUGCGAAAGUAAGACUAAUACCCAAUGACGUCUCUAGAAGACAUCUGAAGGAGAUUAAAGAUUUAUCGGUGAUGGAUGGGGAUGCGUCUGAUUAGCUUGUUGGCGGGGUAACGCCACAGGCGACGAUCAGUAGGGGUUCUGAGAGGAAGGUCCCCCANAUUGGAACUGAGACACGGUCCAAACUCCUACGGGAGGCA